AUGAACGCUGGCGGCGUGCCUAAUACAUGCAAGUCGAGCGAACAGACGAGGAGCUUGCUCCUCUGACGUUAGCGGCGGACGGGUGAGUAACACGUGGAUAACCUACCUAUAAGACUGGGAUAACUUCGGGAAACCGGAGCUAAUACCGGAUAAUAUAUUUAACCGCAUGGUUCAAUAGUGAAAGACGGUUUUGCUGUCACUUAUAGAUGGAUCCGCGCCGCAUUAGCUAGUUGGUAAGGUAACGGCUUACCAAGGCAACGAUGCGUAGCCGACCUGAGAGGGUGAUCGGCCACACUGGAACUGAGACACGGUCCAGACUCCUACGGGAGGCAGCAGUAGGGAAUCUUCCGCAAUGGGCGAAAGCCUGACGGAGCAACGCCGCGUGAGUGAUGAAGGUCUUCGGAUCGUAAAACUCUGUUAUUAGGGAAGAACAAAUGUGUAAGUAACUAUGCACGUCUGGACGGUACCUAAUCAGAAAGCCACGGCUAACUACGG
Molecule: ribosomal RNA, 495 nt
Filed under: uncultured bacterium
Lineage: Bacteria
Description: partial 16S ribosomal RNA
Rfam family: Bacterial small subunit ribosomal RNA
Source: RNAcentral